UGCUCGGUGUGGCAGGUAGACGCGCCGAAUUCGGUCCUCAGGGUUCUUGAAAUCCGCUAUUCCUACUUGAAGAGGCUCAAGGUGCUCUGCCUUCCCAAACUAGAGCUGCUCAGUUGGGAGGCGUGGGUGCACUGUGAGCCCCCCUUGCAUUUUGGUUAUGUCCCGUCUCUUAAGGAGUUAAUCCUCUUAUGUGCUGCAAAGCUUGAUCACCCGGAGUUUAGUUUAAGCCUGCUUCUAGAUGGUGCCACAUAAAUCAAUACCCUGACCUUAAACUUCCAAGGAGAAAAGCUUUGGAUCCAACCGGAAAGCAGGCAACUCCGUGCCGCAUUCAGCAAGCUAAGGAAGCUGUCUAUUCAUGGCAUAUAUGUUGAGUUUGACCUGUUAUGGACAAUAAAUCUCCUUGAAGCUGCUCCAACCGUUGAGAUAUUUGAUAUUGAGGUGUAUGAACAUCCAUGUAUGGUACCAUAUUGGGUGCGCGUUGGCGUUCAAAGAGUGCAACCUUCAUGGAAGACGCCUGGGUUUACAAGCUGUAAGAAGUGGCAACUGAGAGAGCUCUAUGUUACCAACUUUAGUUCCCUCGUGGGGCAACAUGUGUUAUUUGUACGCGAGGUGAUGGAUCGAGCGCCAAACUUGAAAACUGUUAUUUUGAAGGAAGAUGAAGAAGCAUGCAAGGAUUGUGAGGCAAUGGGCGCACUGCCUACUCCGGUAGGAGGCUUGUUUCCGAGGACCAAAAAGGAGCAAGAAACAAUAGCCCAGCAACUUAGGGACAACAUGGUCAGCUCGUCCUCGGCACAGAUAAUUUUCAAAAGUAUUGUUUCAACGGUGGUAUUCUGAACUUAUGUAUGUCUGAAUGCAAG
This is a long non-coding RNA of Triticum dicoccoides, 857 nucleotides long. RefSeq lists it as uncharacterized. The record is from RefSeq and is a predicted model, not a curated record. Lineage: Eukaryota; Viridiplantae; Streptophyta; Magnoliopsida; Poales; Poaceae. The transcript is spliced from 3 exons.